ACGUUUGCCAGGAUCUUCUUGAUGUCCUCAAUCAUCUUCUUGAUGUCAUCAGGAGAUUUGGGCAACUGAAUUGACAACACAGCAUUGGCCAGUUUCUCAAUGUCCUCCGGCUUCACCAGCUCAUCUGUUAAGGCCCACCCUUGUGCCAUUACUUAUUACUCGGAAGUAAAGAGAGAUCGUUUCGAGGAGGAUGGCUUUGUGACUUCACUUACCUCCCCGUCGGUGGAAGGUUCUGGCCCAGAAUAGCGGCUAUCACAGACGACAUCAUCAAUGCUAUCUGCUGGCCAUUCGGGGAUGCCCGGAAAAGAGUUGGCACAGUCCUCCGC
Non-coding RNA from Paramisgurnus dabryanus, 326 nucleotides. The record is from RefSeq and is a predicted model, not a curated record. Lineage: Eukaryota; Metazoa; Chordata; Actinopteri; Cypriniformes; Cobitidae.